CAGCCGCCGCGGUAAAACGAAGGGGGCUAGCGUUGUUCGGAAUUACUGGGCGUAAAGCGCACGUAGGCGGAUAUUUAAGUCAGGGGUGAAAUCCCAGAGCUCAACUCUGGAACUGCCUUUGAUACUGGGUAUCUUGAGUAUGGAAGAGGUGAGUGGAAUUCCGAGUGUAGAGGUGAAAUUCGUAGAUAUUCGGAGGAACACCAGUGGCGAAGGCGGCUCACUGGUCCAUUACUGACGCUGAGGUGCGAAAGCGUGGGGAGCAAACAGGAUUAGAGACCCGUGUAGUCCCUGUCUCUUAUAC
RNAcentral lists this ribosomal RNA (301 nucleotides) under uncultured bacterium. Its description in RNAcentral is "partial 16S ribosomal RNA". It matches the Rfam family "Bacterial small subunit ribosomal RNA", at positions 509 to 807 of the family's 1533-position model. The record is from RNAcentral.